RNAcentral lists this ribosomal RNA (253 nucleotides) under uncultured bacterium. RNAcentral describes it as "partial 16S ribosomal RNA". It matches the Rfam family "Archaeal small subunit ribosomal RNA", at positions 474 to 727 of the family's 1478-position model. The record is from RNAcentral.
UACCAGCACCCCGAGUGGUCGGGACGUUUAUUGGGCCUAAAGCAUCCGUAGCCGGUUCUACAAGUCUUCCGUUAAAUCCACCUGCUUAACAGAUGGGCUGCGGAAGGUACUAUAGAGCUAGGAGGCGGGAGAGGCAAGCGGUACUCGAUGGGUAGGGGUAAAAUCCGUUGAUCCAUUGAAGACCACCAGUGGCGAAGGCGGCUUGCCAGAACGCGCUCGACGGUGAGGGAUGAAAGCUGGGGGAGCAAACCGG